GGUCAACGUAAAUCCUGAAAGCGUCGUUAUUCCUGCUCGAGGUUGCGUUGUCUAUGUUGAUGUUCAGGCAGAGGAAUCAUCUUCAACAAUCUUUACACCGGCGAUUAUCACCAUUCUUGCAGCAUUAGUGCUGCAGCUGGUCUACCAUUAACCGCAUGGUAAAUUGCACACAAACUGUAAACAGCGGAGAAGCCUUGGUAAUUACGUCAUAUAUCUUCAUCGUUCUCUAUGGAAUAGAAGAAAUGGAAACUGGAGCUAGAAGUCAAAUUUUGUAAAUACGUGUACCAUUUGUUAAAUAAGUUAUUUCUAUGUCCUUAAGUGUUUAUAGCCAGCAGAAUACCAAUGAUGUAACGGGUGUACUAAUUUGAUAUAGAGUAAAAUAAAGUUUUUGUAUACAAAAUU
Cephus cinctus (wheat stem sawfly) is the source of this 402-nucleotide long non-coding RNA. RefSeq lists it as uncharacterized. NCBI's taxonomy places the organism in Eukaryota, Metazoa, Arthropoda, Insecta, Hymenoptera, Cephidae. The transcript has 2 exons. The record is from RefSeq and is a predicted model, not a curated record.